UGGCCGGGAGCGGGGGGAGGGGAGCCAAGAGUAACAAAGGGAGCCCGCGGCCGGGUUUGUUUGGAUUGCCCGGGCGGCGCGGGAGCGGCCGGGCGCAGCUGACCACGGGUACAGAUAGGUUAAUUUCCACAUGGAGCGGCAGAAACCCAAUCCGCGGGUUGCGAAGCGUGGGUCAGCCAAGGCACGUUAAUCUGUUUAGCAUGUGCGCCGCGCGGAGGAGCCAGACCACCGGGGCGCAGGAGGCGCGGCCGCAGCCGCGCUGCUCCGGGGGAGUUAAUAAAGAGCUUAAGCAUCGCGUUCUGUUGGACAGAGAGCCCCAGGACUGUCAGACGGCGAAGGGUUAGGAAGUGCGCGCAGCCUCGCCGACCCCUGCCCAGUCCGAGAACCAGAGCUGUUGUCGAUCGAGGGCCCGGCCGUUGCGCCCGGGGCGCGCGGGCCUCGCUGAGUCGCGACGAGUCCCUGCGCCUCCUCCCAGACGCGGCGCCACCGAGAGACAGACCACCGGCUCCCGCUUCAUUUCAGGGGCUGACAAGGGGAAAACACUACCGCGCCCCUGGCCGAAGGAGGUAA
This 570-nucleotide long non-coding RNA is filed under the name Bos indicus x Bos taurus (hybrid cattle). Its description in RNAcentral is "lncRNA (ENSBIXG00005017918.1)". The record is from RNAcentral. Lineage: Eukaryota; Metazoa; Chordata; Mammalia; Artiodactyla; Bovidae.